UACAGAGGGGGCAAGCGUUAUUCGGAAUUAUUGGGCGUAAAGGGCGCGUAGGCGGCUUUGCAAGUGACGGGUGAAAUCCCUCGGCUUAACCGAGGAACUGCCUGUCAAACUGCAUGGCUUGAGACCGGGAGAGGUGAGUGGAAUUCCCAGUGUAGCGGUGAAAUGCGUAGAUAUCAGGAGGAACACCGGUGGUGUAGACGGCUUUCUGGACCGUAACUGACGCUGAGACACGAAAGCCAGGGUAGCGAACGGG
Molecule: ribosomal RNA, 253 nt
Filed under: uncultured bacterium
Lineage: Bacteria
Description: partial 16S ribosomal RNA
Rfam family: Bacterial small subunit ribosomal RNA
Source: RNAcentral